This 119-nucleotide non-coding RNA is filed under the name Maledivibacter halophilus. RNAcentral describes it as "Clostridium halophilum MoCo sequence". It matches the Rfam family "Molybdenum/Tungsten riboswitch aptamer (Moco RNA motif)". The record is from Rfam by way of RNAcentral. Lineage: Bacteria; Bacillati; Bacillota; Clostridia; Peptostreptococcales; Caminicellaceae.
AAAAGUAAAUAUCUCCGAGUCUAUAUUCCUAAAGAUAUAUCUAUGGAAUUAAGACCGUUAGGGUGUAAUUAGAAAUAAUUAUGCCUUCCAUUGUGAAAAGGAGAAAUAUUUAGAUAUAU